GUGCGGACGACGGGAGAGGGAGGCAGAAGGAGGACACGCUCGCUCGCUUGCUCGCUCCCACCCGCACCCGGGCUCCUAGAGCCGGCGCGGAGCCCAGGGGGAGGAGCCACUGCGGGCACGCCCCGCCUCUGGCCCGGGAAGACUACGCCAGCGACCCCGCCGGCUGGCCACCGCCCCCCUUGCCGGCCGAGACCCGCCCCCGGCCCUCCCUCGGCGGCAUGGAGGGGACCCGCUCCUGACGGCCGCGCCGCCGCCUCGGCCCCCGCCCCUCCUCCUGGCCCCUCCCUCCCGCCCCCGCUCGCAUGUCCGCGCCGCCUUAGCCGAGGAUGCUGAGGAUGAAGCUGCCGCUGAAGCCGUCGCACCCCGCGGAGCCGCCGCCCGAGGCGGAGGAGCCUGAGGCGGACGCGCGGCCAGGCGCUAAGGCGCCGCCGCGUCGCCGCCGCGACUGCCGACCCCCGCCGCCGCCGCCGCUCUCGGGCCCGCCGCGGGGCCCCCCGCUGCCGCCGCCGCCGCCGCCGCCGCCGCCACCCGGGGGGCUCGGGCAGCCUGUUGCUGGCGGAUCGGCGGCGGGAGCGGGCAUGCCGAGCGGCGGCGGCGGGCCCACGGCGGCGCUGCGCGAGCAGGAGCGGGUGUAUGAGUGGUUCGGGCUGGUGCUGGGCUCGGCGCAGCGCCUGGAGUUCAUGUGCGGGCUGCUGGACCUGUGCAACCCGCUGGAGCUGCGCUUCCUCGGCUCGUGCCUGGAGGACCUGGCGCGCAAGGACUACCACUACCUGCGCGACUCGGAGGCCAAGGCCAACGGUCUCUCGGACCCGGGGCCGCUGGCCGACUUCCGAGAGCCCGCAGUGCGCUCGCGCCUCAUCGUCUACCUGGCGCUGCUGGGUUCCGAGAACCGUGAGGCCGCCGGCCGCCUGCACCGCCUCCUGCCCCAGGUGGACUCGGUGCUUAAGAGCCUGCGCGCGGCCCGGGGCGACGGCUCGCGGGGCGGCGCGGAGGACGAGCCCGGCGAGGACGGCGACAACGAGGAGGACGCCGAGAAGGACGGCUCCGGCCCGGAAGGCGGCGGCGCCGAGCCCCAGCCCUGCGGCGGGCUGGGCUUCAGGGCCCAGGAGGAACUGCUGCUGCUCUUCACCAUGGCCUCGCUGCACCCGGCGUUCUCCUUCCACCAGCGGGUCACCCUGAGGGAGCACCUGGAGAGGCUCCGCGCCGCGCUCCGCGGGAGCCCCGAAGACGGGGAGGCGGAGCUGUGUAACUUUGCCGGCCCCAGGGCCCAGAAUGACUCUGCUCAUGGUGAUUAUAUGCAAAGUAAUGAGGCCAGUUUAAUGGAACAAGCCCUGAUACCUCAUGAUGGACUUACUGUGGCACCUCAUAGAACCCAGCGAGAAGCUGUACACAUUGAGAAGAUAAUGUUGAAAGGAGUCCAGAGAAAAAGGGCUGACAAAUAUUGGGAGUACACCUUCAAAGUAAAUUGGUCUGAUCUUUCAGUCACAACAGUAACAAAAACCCACCAAGAACUACAGGAAUUUCUGCUGAAGCUUCCAAAGGAGUUGUCCUCGGAGACUUUUGACAAGACCAUCUUAAGAGCCCUGAAUCAGGGCUCAUUGAAGAGGGAAGAAUGGCGGCACCCUGACCUGGAGCCCAUCCUGAGGCAGCUAUUUUCAACUUCAUCACGAGCUUUUCUACAGAAUCAGAAAGUACACAGCUUUUUUCAGUCCAUAUCAUCAGACCCUCUACACAGCCUCAAUAACUUACAAUCCUCUCUGAAGACCUCUAAGAUAUUAGAACACUUAAAAGAAGACAGCUCAGAAGCUUCAAGUCAAGAAGAAGAUGUAUUACAGCACACCAUAAUCCACAAGAAACAUACUGGGAAAAAUCCCCUUGUGAACACUAUUGGUACAAGUUGUUCUCCGUUGGAUGGGCUCACCAUGCAGUAUUCUGAACAGAAUGGAAUCAUGGAUUGGAGGAAGCAAACCUGCACCACCAUUCAGCACCCGGAGCACUGUGUGGCCUUAGCUGACCAGCAUUCAACUGAAAAACGAAGUUUAUCUUCAAUAAAUAAGAAAAAAGGAAAGUCACAAAUAGAAAAGGAGAAAAUUAAGAAAACUGACAACAGAUUGAAUAGUAGAAUAAAUGGUAUUCGAAUCUCCGCUCCUCAGCACACCCACGGUGGUUCUGUGAAAGAUGUGAAUUUGGACAUUGGAUCUGGACAUGACACAUGUGGAGAAACAUCUUCAGAGAGUUACAGUUCUCCGUCUAGCCCAAGACAUGAUGGAAGAGAAAGUUUUGAAAGUGAAGAAGAAAAAGACAGAGACACAGACAGCAAUUCUGAGGAUUCUGGAAAUCCAUCCACAACCAGGUUUACAGGUUAUGGUUCUGUCAACCAGACUGUCACUGUCAAGCCACCUGUUCAGAUUGCUUCAUUAGGAAACGACGAUGCAAACCUUUUAGAAGAUCCCUUAAGCUCACCCAAGUAUCAGCAUAUUUCUUUUAUGCCAACUUUACACUGUGUCAUGCACAAUGGUGCCCAGAAGUCUGAGGUGGUCGUUCCUCCACCCAAAUCUGCUGAUGGUAAAACAAUAGGGAUGCUUGUUCCUAGCCCUGUUGCUCUCUCUGCAAUAAGGGAGUCCACGAACUCAACCCCCGUCGGAAUACUAGGGUCAACAGCUUCUACUGCAGAAUCAGAAAAGCACCUUGAAUUACUGGCGUCCCCUUUACCUGUUCCAUCAACAUUCCUUCCACAUAGUAGUACUCCCGCUUUGCACCUCACAAUUCAGAGGCUGAAACUGCCGCCGCCGCAGGGAUCUUCCGAGAGUUGCACGGUGAACCUCUCCCAGCAACCAACCGGGAGUCUGAGCGUCGGAUCACCAAACACUGCCUUUAUUCCUGUUCAUAAUCCAGGUAGUUUUCCAGGAUCUCCUGUUGCUACCACAGACCCCAUCACAAAAUCUGCAUCUCAAGUGGUAGGACUAAGUCAAAUGGUGCCUCAGCUUGAGGGAAACACAGGGACAGCCCCUCAGCCUACCAAUGUGAAGGUAGUUCUUCCAGCAGCCGGCCUCUCGGCCGUACAGCCACCAGCUUCCUACCCCUUGCCAGGCUCUCCCCUUGCUGCCGGGGUGUUACCCAGCCAGAAUUCCACCGUCCUCAGCACGGCGGCACCGUCUGCCCAGUCCACGGGAGCAGGCAUCAGCCAGGCCCAGUCGAGUGUUCCUCCCGCGGUUCCUACCCACACCCCCGGUCCCGCCCCAAGCCCGAGCCCUGCUUUGACACACAGUACUGCGCAGGGCGACAGCACGUCUUACAUCAGUGCUGUGGGAAACACGAACGCCAACGGGACAGUGUUGCCUCCACAGCAGAUGGGCUCAGGUCCUUGUGGUUCUUGUGGGCGAAGGUGCAGCUGUGGGACCAAUGGAAACCUUCAGCUAAAUAGUUACUAUUAUCCUAAUCCAAUGCCUGGACCAAUGUACCGAGUCCCAUCGUUCUUUACUCUGCCAUCCAUCUGCAAUGGCAGCUACCUCAACCAAGCACAUCAGAGCAAUGGAAACCAACUUCCUUUUUUUCUGCCUCAGACUCCAUAUGCAAAUGGACUGGUGCAUGACCCAGUCCAAGCCAACUAUGGCAUGCAGCAGAUGGCAGGAUUCGGGAGGUUCUAUCCUGUGUAUCCAGCACCUAAUGUAGUCGCCAGCACGAGUGGUUCGGGGCCCAAGAAGAAUGGGAACGUUUCAUGUUACAACUGUGGUGUGAGCGGGCACUAUGCACAGGAGUGUAAGCAGUCGUCCAUGGAGGCCAGUCAACAAGGCACUUACAGACUGAGAUACGCACCUCCCCUCCCCCCUUCUAAUGAUACGUUGGAUUCUGCAGACUGAAACAAGUAGCAUCUAGUACUUGAGCACCACCAUCCAUUUGAGCUUGGAGGACACCUUUUUUCAAUUCUACAUUCUGAUUACAAAAACAUUUAAGGUUAAGGCAGUGAAACCAAAUGGAGCUCCGACUUGAUCCACUGUAAAAGGUCUCCCUCGGCCAGCCUCUCCCCAAAAGAAAUUGCUAAUUGGGAAGCAGCGCCGCCUGGUGGGGGACGAGGACAAUGCAAGCAAGCGGACGUCAUUGCCCACUUGACCUGAUGUAGAGAAAAUUGAACGUAAGGCAGAAAACAUUUGAGAUUGUAAACCUGUGCUCAAAACCUUAAAGAAUGCAGGCAACUGGCCAUAAAAGUAAUUUGAGCGGUCUCCUCUUUCAGACAUUGCAAUCUCAGUUUGUUAUAAACAUCUUAAACGCAUUGAUGGUACUUUAGAGUUUCCUUUGCACUUUUCUCUGGGCUCAUUGGCCUGCACAACUGUGAAGGGUAUGGGGUCUCCCUCCUCCCUAUUUUACAGACUAGGAACUCAGGGUUCAGAGGGGUUAAGUGCCACAGACAUGCCACCAGUGAUGAAGGCCAGGCCCCAACUUCAGAUUAGUGCUUACCUCCUGCCCCACUUCCUGGCCUGCAACUGCUUCUUCACUGACCCCAGGGCAAUGACCUUUUAAACCGUAUAAAGCGAUAGGCACCCAUGGUCUUAAGAACCAUGGGGCCUCUGGGUUCCUGAGAGAGGAGUGGGCUGGGUCCUGGUCAGUCAGAAUGUCUCUUUUCUUUAUCUCUGUUGAAGGGGUGAGGGAAAGUUUGCAGAACUGGGAGACCUCAGUACUUUUAGAACUAGGCUUUCGGCGUUUGCCUGUCUCAGAUGAAUUCAAGGAGCAGCAGCUGUUGCCUACAUCCAAGGUUUGAAACAUGCAGCAGUAUGCUCUGUUGGAACACUGAAUCUUGCUCUGCAAAGGUUUUUAUUGUCCCCAGAUGUCUCGGUGACUCUUGAGCAUUUGGUGGCCAGUCCAUAAUUUUAAGCCUUCAGAAGUUAAGAAGUGCAGUAGCAGGGCACACAGGAAAGAUACUUCACUGCUGCUAUUUGAAAAGCUCUGACCGUUAUAUAUAGAUUUUCCCAAGCACUCCCUCUACCCGCCACCACUACUCAAAGACACUCCAAAGACCAAAAAUGACAGAGGCAAAGUCACCUUCAAGCAGGAACGGUGACAGUCACACCCGCCCCAAAAGCCUUUCUGGAUGUUAAGAAUGCCACCAGGUCACCUAGUACUCGGUGCUCAUUCUUGCUAGCGUAUCAGGGUUGGGUAUUUGUGACAUGGUAACUCACUUUUGCAUUGGAAGCCUCCAUCAGAUGGACUUGUACAAAGAGGUGGCGCUGGUAAAGCCUUAUUUUCAGCACCCACCCACAGUACGCAUGACCUUUCUCAGGCUCAUUUACAGAAUGGGGAUAACAUCCACUUUGUUAGAAUAGUUAUAAGGAUUGAAUCUGACAAAAUACAUAAAGCACUCAGUGUCUGGCACACAGUAGGUGCUCAGGACAUUCGUGAUGGUGGCGAACGCCUUCAUGCCCAGCGGGGGGCAGGCAUGUGUCAACCUCACCACAGCCAUAUGAGGUGGGUACUCUGCUCCAUCUUACCGUUGGGGAGGUUGAGGCAUGAAGGCCGCCCAAGUGUCUGAGGGCACAGAGCGGUUCAGUGGCAAGGCUGGGGCUGGAACCUGCCGCUCUUAGCCCCCAGGCUCCUCCAAUUCUUUGUGCCCGGGUCACAGGAUGCUACAGGCAUGGUGUGACAGUGCAGGGCACCCCGCACUGGGGUAAGGUAGGCAGAACUCAGGCCAGCUCUGCCGUAAACUCUGUCGUCUUGAACACCUGGCCCUCCUGGACCUUCAUUUUUCUUACCCGAAAGCUAAGUGUUGCUUGGAAAAGAGUGGUAGAAACUGAGCUAAAUGACCUUAGAAUUCUGUGGCUUGAAGCUUACUUUUUCACUUUAAGUGAUUUAUCAAGUUUUUAUAAUUCUUUACCUUUACACUUUUGUUUUAACUGAUUUGAAGUCCUCUUUGGGUGUGGCCAGGAGCACAAACCCCAGCUGUCACCAUGUGCUAACAGGACAGGAAAUGUUUCCAGGUCAUUAGGGAGCGGCAAGAGAAAACACCCCAAUUGGGGCUGGCUGGGCACUAGGUGGCAGCACCGGCUUCUGACUGUGUCUGGUCCAGCGGAGGAGCAGGUGCUCUGUCCUGUCCUCAAGAUUCUAGGUUCUCCUCUACUUGUACUGAUAAAGUUUUCACCUGGGGGGGCCUUCCAGUCAAAAAACGAAGCUUGCGUACCGAGUCCUGUGCUGAAGGACACAGGGUUAGCCGUAGCUCACAGGUCAACAACACGUAGAGAUGGACAAACUACGGUCCACAGCUAAGAAUGGUUUUUACAUCUUUAAAUGGUUGAAAAGAAUACGUUUUCAUGACGCAUAAAAAAAUUAUAUGAAAUUCACAUUUCAGUGUGCACAAAUAAAGUUUCUUGGAACACG
Molecule: RNA transcript, 6366 nt
Organism: Orcinus orca (killer whale)
Lineage: Eukaryota; Metazoa; Chordata; Mammalia; Artiodactyla; Delphinidae
Gene: ZCCHC2
Gene name: zinc finger CCHC-type containing 2
Exons: 16
Source: RefSeq, a predicted model, not a curated record